UCCGGCUUAGCACCGGCAGUCUUAUUAGAGUGCCCAACCUAAUGAUGGCAACUAAUAACAAGGGUUGCGCUCGUUGCGUCACUUAAGACAACAUCUCACGACACGAGCUGACGACAGCCAUGCAGCACCUGUGUCCAAGUUCCCGAAGGCACUACCACAUCUCUGUAGCAUUCUUGGCAUGUCAAGAGCAGGUAAGGUUUUUCGCGUUGCAUCGAAUUAAUCCGCAUCAUCCACCGCUUGUGCGGGUCCCCGUCAAUUCCUUUGAGUUUUAAUCUUGCGACCGUACUCCCCAGGCGGUCUACUUCUUGCGUUAGCUACGCUACACAGGUUUCACCCCAUACAGCUAGUAGACAUCGUUUAGGGCGUGGACUAC
This 373-nucleotide unclassified non-coding RNA is filed under the name uncultured Gammaproteobacteria bacterium. Its description in RNAcentral is "contains 16S-23S intergenic spacer region". The record is from RNAcentral. Lineage: Bacteria; Pseudomonadati; Pseudomonadota; Gammaproteobacteria.